GUAACAUAUGCGUGUAUCGGUGCCCCUUUCGGGGCCAAAAGGGAAUGCGGUGCCGUCUCCGGCGUCUUGGGGACCAAAUCCGCAGCCGCCCCCGCGACUGUAGGCGGAGAGCGGACGCCCAUCGUGCCACUGGCCAUCCGGCCGGGAAGGCGGGCGUCAGCCGUGACCCGCGAGCCAGGAGACCUGCCGAUGCGUGAAACCGCAA
Molecule: non-coding RNA, 205 nt
Filed under: Paracoccus denitrificans
Lineage: Bacteria; Pseudomonadati; Pseudomonadota; Alphaproteobacteria; Rhodobacterales; Paracoccaceae
Also listed under: 1 other name
Source: RNAcentral